CAGUGAUUUGAAGUUUUCUGGUCAUUGCAGCGGGAGGACAGGGCUCACCGCAGGGAGCAAUCCGCAGCCCUGCUGGAAGUCAUUGCCGGCAUCACGGAUGAACUGAGAUUCUGCAAACAAGAGCAAGCUGCUCGACAGGAGACUGUCUGACCUCAGUCAGGCUGGGAGCUACACCAGAGGGGUCUUACAACAUAUUGCCUGGAAGUCCGGUUCUAAGCGGGUUUGCCUUAGACCGUCUUCUCCUUUCGUACUGCUGCUUCAAGAAAGAAGAUCAAUCCUAAUAAUACUGAACACUGUGCAACAUCCCUCAAAUUGAACGGUUGCCAUUCAGGACCAUCUUCUGCAAGUGAAGCCUUUUCUUCGUACAGUGAGGU
This 374-nucleotide long non-coding RNA is filed under the name Dromaius novaehollandiae (emu). RNAcentral's name for it is "lncRNA (ENSDNVG00000002691.1)". The record is from RNAcentral. Lineage: Eukaryota; Metazoa; Chordata; Aves; Casuariiformes; Dromaiidae.